GUCGGGAUAGCUCAGCAGAGCAGUUUA
Molecule: transfer RNA, 27 nt
Filed under: Pyrus communis (pear)
Lineage: Eukaryota; Viridiplantae; Streptophyta; Magnoliopsida; Rosales; Rosaceae
Description: partial tRNA-Phe
Source: RNAcentral